AGUGUAGGUGCGUUGAAAGAGAUCAUGGAGAGUUGUAGAAUCAGAAGGAUCGACCUCACGGUAAUUAACGAAGUUCUCGCGAGCGUAUUUGGCAUAAUAACCUCUGGAGUCCUUCGGUAAACGCCUUACAAGUCUCAGAACCUCUGCGUAAGCUCUCACCGCCUUCUCCAUCUCUUUUCUUUUCCUUCCAACUUUCCAAUUGCCGAUUACUUCUGUCACUAAACUAAACUAGUCAAACCCAUUAAUUAUCUUUUUACUUCUUUACCAAAAAAAAAACCAAAGUUACUUUACCAAAAAUUUGUUUUAUUAAUCUAUUCAUACAAAAAAUACUAACUAACAGACUUAGUUGAUUAAUUUGCACAGAUUAAUAAGAAAAUAUAAAUAAAUAAAAAAUAUUUUUAUUAUAUUGUUUCUUAUGUAUUGGUUUAUUCAUCUAUAUCAUUGCCUUGAAAUCUUGAUCACACGUGAAAAUAGGAUUUGAAUCUACCUCAUGCGUUAGGCGCAAAGGCUCCCGCACUAGGCGCAAUUGUGAGCACGAAUGGGCGCAGACGUAGCCUGUCUUGCGCUAGGCGCAGGAGUGCUGACAGCUUGGCUGUUUUGCUUUCUUGGAGGACACUUCGACUUGGAUUUUGUUUUAUUUUAAGACAAAUUUGUUCCUAAAACUGCUUGACAUUUUAUUUUUUUUAUAAAUAGGAAGUGUUUUAUUCAUAGAAAAAUAAGGAGCAACAAUGUAGGAAAUUCAAUUAGGAUUUGCUGCCGACACAAGGCUUUGACCGAAUUGUA
RNAcentral lists this long non-coding RNA (783 nucleotides) under Trifolium pratense (red clover). RNAcentral's name for it is "long non-coding RNA (TPRA_LNC000122)". The record is from RNAcentral. Lineage: Eukaryota; Viridiplantae; Streptophyta; Magnoliopsida; Fabales; Fabaceae.